UACGAAGGGGGCUAGCGUUGCUCGGAAUUACUGGGCGUAAAGCGCGCGCAGGGCGGCUAUCCAAGUCAGUGGUGAAAGCCCGGAGCUCAACUCCGGAACUGCCAUUGAAACUGUUUAGCUUGAGGAUGAGAGAGGUGAGUGGAAUUCCGGGUGUAGUGGUGAAAUGCGUAGAGAUCCGGAGGAACACCAGUGGCGAAGGCGACACGCUGGGCCGUACCUGACACUGAUGCGCGACAGCAUGGGGAGCAAACAGG
This 254-nucleotide ribosomal RNA is filed under the name uncultured bacterium. RNAcentral describes it as "partial 16S ribosomal RNA". It matches the Rfam family "Bacterial small subunit ribosomal RNA", at positions 524 to 776 of the family's 1533-position model. The record is from RNAcentral.